AACGAACGCUGGCGGCAUGCCUAACACAUGCAAGUCGAACGAGACCUUCGGGACUAGUGGCGCACGGGUGCGUAACGCGUGGGAACCUGCCCUUAGGUUCGGAAUAACUCCCCGAAAGGGGUGCUAAUACCGGAUAAUGUCUUCGGACCAAAGAUUUAUCGCGUUUGGAUGUGCCCGCGUUGGAUUAGCUAGUUGGUAGGGUAAAAGCCUACCAAGGCGACGAUCCAUAGCUGGUCUGAGAGGAUGAUCAGCCACACUGGGACUGAGACACGGCCCAGACUCCUACGGGAGGCAGCAGUGGGGAAUAGUGGACAAUGGGCGAAAGCCUGAUCCAGCAAUGCCGCGUGAGUGAUGAAGGCCUUAGGGUUGUAAAGCUCUUUUACCCGGGAUGAUAAUGACAGUACCGGGAGAAUAAGCGCCGGCUAACUCCGUG
This 433-nucleotide ribosomal RNA is filed under the name uncultured bacterium. RNAcentral describes it as "partial 16S ribosomal RNA". It matches the Rfam family "Bacterial small subunit ribosomal RNA", at positions 29 to 507 of the family's 1533-position model. The record is from RNAcentral.